GAGUUUGAUCCUGGCUCAGGAUGAACGCUGGCGGCGUGCUUAACACAUGCAAGUCGAACGUGAGAGGUAGCAAUAUCUUGAAAGUGGCGCACGGGUGAGUAACACGUAGGUAACCUGCCUCGGAGUGGGGGAUAACAGUUAGAAAUGACUGCUAAUACCGCAUGAAUCCAUUAAGAUGGGAAUGUUGAUGGAGAAAACUCUGGUGCUUCGAGAGGGGCCUGCGGUCGAUUAGCUAGUUGGCGGGGUAACGGCCCACCAAGGCGACGAUCGAUAGCUGGUCUGAGAGGACGAUCAGCCACACGGGAACUGAGACACGGUCCCGACUCCUACGGGGGGCAGCAGUGAGGAAUAUUGGGCAAUGGGCGAAGCCUGACCCAGCAACGCCGCGUGGAGGAAUGAAGGCCUC
This 406-nucleotide ribosomal RNA is filed under the name uncultured bacterium. RNAcentral describes it as "bacterial SSU rRNA". It matches the Rfam family "Bacterial small subunit ribosomal RNA", at positions 9 to 418 of the family's 1533-position model. The record is from RNAcentral.